UUGUGGCCGUAUCAAGUUGAAACUCCGGUUCCCGUACGAUCACCAAAGUUAAGAAACGUCAAGCCUGGUCAGUAUCGAGAUGGGCGAUUGCUUGGGAAUGCCAAGUGCUGUAAG
Molecule: non-coding RNA, 114 nt
Organism: Acanthosepion pharaonis
Lineage: Eukaryota; Metazoa; Mollusca; Cephalopoda; Sepiida; Sepiidae
Source: the annotation of a GenBank genome assembly